Molecule: unclassified non-coding RNA, 472 nt
Filed under: Hevea brasiliensis (rubber tree)
Lineage: Eukaryota; Viridiplantae; Streptophyta; Magnoliopsida; Malpighiales; Euphorbiaceae
Source: RNAcentral
GUUUCAUUUUUCACUUUCUCACAAAAUUGAUUCUGAUUUCCUCUCUACACAGCUUUCAGUGGAAGAUCACUGAAAAUUAGAUAAAAUAGUCCAUCUCAACAAUGCGAAGAGAUGAACAACAACCCAACAAACAGAAAAGAACUAACCCAAAUGCAUUCCCAAAUAAACAACCAACAAAUCAACAAACCCAAAAUGUAUAACCGAGAAAUUAACGAAGCAGAGAUGGGCAGCAUAGCAGGCAAUACACAUCCAUGGCUCCUAUGAGUCCAUCCUCAAGGACCCACAUAUCGGCGCCGUCUAUGUCCCUUUACCCACCAGCAUUCAUGUGAAAUGGGUAUGUUCGGUUGCUAAGAAGAAGAAGCAUAUCUUGUUGAAGAAGCCCGUGGGACUCAAUGUUGGUGAGUUUUAUGAGAUUUUGGAUGCUUGUAGAAAUCAUACUGUGUCAAUAAUAGAGGCAAGGAACAAAGGAAUG